Molecule: ribosomal RNA, 292 nt
Filed under: uncultured bacterium
Lineage: Bacteria
Also listed under: 1 other name
Description: partial 16S ribosomal RNA
Source: RNAcentral
GGACUACUCGGGUAUCUAAUCCUGUUUGAUCCCCACGCUUUCGAGCCUCAGUGUCAAUUCAGGCCUAGUGAACUGCCUUCGCAAUCGGUGUUCUAUUACAUAUCUAAGCAUUUCACCGCUACAUGUAAUAUUCCAUCCACCUCGACCUGAUUCAAGCUAAGCAGUAUCAAUGGCAAUUCAACAGUUAAGCUGCUGGAUUUCACCACUGACUUACAAAGCCACCUACGCUCCCUUUAAACCCAGUGAAUCCGGAUAACGCUUGCACCCUCCGUAUUACCGCGGCUGCUGGCAC